ACUGGAAUCAGCAACUCCCUGGAACUCGGGCCUCUGGCCCCGUCCCUCUUUUCUCCGGCAGGGACGCAGGAUGCCUUGGUGCACUCUAGAGACGGGGACCGGAGGGUGCAGCGCGCCUGGGUGGGGCGAAGGGCGCCGGUCUCCUCACGCCCUCUGACUUUAGGAUACCAGACAGUGUCUCUUCAACCCCACCCCAGGCGCAGGUUUCCAGAAGGCGGGGUGGGUGGGGCCCCCGAUUUCCAGAAGGCGAGUUACCUAGCAGGUGUGUGGGGUGGGCAUUGCUAUUCGGAGGAAAAUGGAAGAAACGGAGAUACUUUUAGUGAAGCAGAAUAAACCACUGAACAGGAAAAAUGAGGAAGCUGUGAGUACCAGUGGAAGGAACGAGCCAGGAAGAGGGACUGGAACCAUCUCAGAAGCCAUGCCCCUCAGGCUGGAACUUGCCCUGUCUCCUCGCAGAUGAGGUAGGAGGCUCAGCACGGGCUGGUGGGAGCAGCCCACAGCAGCAGUGAGGGUCAGUGGGCCUGUGAGUUAAGAAGAAGGUGGCACAGAGCGAGGGUCUCUGGAUCCUGACUGUUUGACUUUUCCAUGAUUAGGAUAAGUAGCCAGGGCUUGGCUAGUUGGAGAGUUACUCGAACCUCAGGUGACAGUUGUAAGGCAGCACAUAGUGAAAAAGAGUCCUAGCCUGGGAAAGUCCAAAACCUUAGGUCUGGUUUCAGUUCACUCACCUAUCUCUGUGACAUAGCAAAGUCUGUUAAUUUCUCUAAUUUUCUGAUUAGUAGUAUAGUUGCAGGAAUGAAAUAAAAAUGGUCCUGAUUACUCAGAGAUUCAUUUACUGAUUACUCUUUUUGUGACCUGAAUAAAGAGUACAACAUCUCUCAAAAGGUAACAAUAUGAUGUUUCAGGAAAUUAGAGAAGUUAAGAGACUUUGCUGUAUUUACUAUACAGAUAGUUGACUGACAGCUGAGCCCGGACCCAAGAUUCAUUUAUAAAAUGAAGGAGUUGAGAAGUACAUACUCUGAGGUUUAUCCUAAAUAAACUGAAGUCUAGGCAAGUGGCUGAGCUAGGUUUGCCAUGAAUCAAUCUGCUGAGUAUAUUUCUUGGUAACUAGUUCAUCUUUCCUUAAUUCAGUCAACAAAUAUGAUAUCAAGUUUAGUAAGAUGAUGACAGUUGUCAUGUAAUACUCCAUCUGGAAGAUUGUAUGCUUCUCAGCUUCCCUAACUUUUCUUAAUCUACCUUAAGCUUCCUUUCUGAAAGGUUUCUGUCUUUCCUAACAGUCUCUUCUUUCCGCCAGCUACCUCUUGUGUUUAAGAAUUAAAGGAAGAUGAGCUAGGAAUCAAGAAAUACGCAGAACUGAUUCCUGUCACUGGCGCCACCCUGCCACUUGCCCAGAGCUGUGGUAUAAAUUUUUUUAAUAGGCUGAAAUAAAAAUAUGAAUAGCAUUUUGGUAUUAAGCAUUAAAUUGAUAAAGGCUAUGAGAUACACCUGCUCUCAACCAUGUUAAUUUUUUAUUAUUGGUAUUAAUAAAUUAUUACUUACUAACAUAUUAACAAGAAUUGCAUUGAGAAACAAAGCAUCCACAGGCCAAAUCUUCUGAAUUUCAAAUGUUUAUAUUAAUGCGUUGUAUUCUAGAAAAGUAGAAUUGUCUUAAGUAGCUUUGUAAUAUAAAGUCAUCUAUCAGCCCAUUACACCUAUUAGAAUGUUUUAACCUUUAUUUCCCACUUUUUUGUUUCUAGACUGAGUGUACUUGGUCUGGUAUUUGUGGCAUAACUUACGGAACACAUAAGAAUGAUACAGAUACUAUUUAAUGAUGACCUAAUACAAGCUUAGAUAGCUAAGGUGAAAGCUUCUAUGGCCUUAACAUUUUCCUCUUGAAGAAUGUAUUUUCUGUAAUAAAAUACAGUGGCUACUUGAAAUCUAUAAACUUAUGUGAGGUCUGGAUAAAUCUGAGCAACUUUCUUCUUUGUGCUCCAGGAACCUACGCACUAUAUAUAUAAAUAAAGCUUAAGUAAACAUCACUGCAA
Molecule: long non-coding RNA, 2021 nt
Filed under: Homo sapiens (human)
Lineage: Eukaryota; Metazoa; Chordata; Mammalia; Primates; Hominidae
Description: non-protein coding LINC-PINT:16
Source: RNAcentral